UGAUGUUGUUCCUCAAUGACACGUUUUCUCCCGGAUUGCUGGUAAGCCUGAAUGCAACCGGGAAUUUCGUGUCAGCCAAGAAUGACAUCU
Xiphophorus maculatus (southern platyfish) is the source of this 90-nucleotide non-coding RNA. The record is from Rfam. Lineage: Eukaryota; Metazoa; Chordata; Actinopteri; Cyprinodontiformes; Poeciliidae.